CUCAAAUAAACACAUAAAAUGGGAGAAAUAAGGGAUUCUCUAAGUGUUUUUGUUUGUUUUAGAUGAGAGCCUCUGGAGAAGGGAAGGAGGAGGGUUUUAUCACAUUGCAUCUUCUUCCUGUGGUGGGGACUGUGACCAUUACCUUGCUGGCGCCCCAUCAGAACUUUCCAAACUGGUUGACUGUUUCUGGAAGAGGUUCAAUCAGCAAUUAAGUCAGGCACUAAAACGAGCUUGGUAUCACGGGGGCCUAGGGUCUCUCUCUUUAAAAAUCACAUUACUGAUUGUCAAUUAGCCGUUGAGACAGCUAGGUGUGUUCCCUUCCAAACCUUCUGAAACACACACACACACACACCACACACACACCCGCAGUCACAUGUCCAAUAGGUUCAGCGAGUCUCAGGUAGUGGGUGCAGGAUGUGGUGGGCAGAGGGACGGGCUGUCAUGCCUGUCACAGUGACACCAAGCGUGUUGGGGCAUCGCAGGGAUCGUCCCGCCCAAGAGGCCUGGAUCGCGGACGGGAGGAGACACGGCUAAUCGCCGGCCCUUCUCAGCCUAGAAGGUGCCGCGGGCGGCGGCGGGAGCGGGCCGAGCGGCUUCCCUACAAGCGUCAACACUGACACGCGUCCCAACCGCGCUGUGCCUGCCACUCUGUGGCUGUGCUGCGACGCCAUUGGCUGGAGAGGCCGAAGCCACGCCCCCCGAGCGCACGUAAUAUAUACGUGGGGGCGGGCCUAAAGCCGAAACCCGGAAGUCAACAGCGGCGCCGCGGCCGCCACGGAGCCGGACGGGGAGACGCUGUCGGCGCGUCCGGCUCCGGAAUCGGAGGGGCUGCGCCUCCUGCGCGUCACCGUGCGCCCCCUGCUGGCCGCAUCCUCUCACUGGCGGUCUCUCCGAAGCUCUCCGCCCGCCUGAGGGCCUCCGGGCAGAGGCGGCCGGCCCGGCGGCAGCUGCUGUGGCCCCCGAGGGACGUUGUGAGAAGGCAGGAGGCUCGAGCGGCCGCACCUGGAGGUGCAGGAAGAAGUAAACGCCCAAGGAGAAAGAAGGGCACAAGGAGAAACCAGGAAAGGUAGAGCUGCUCCCCACUCAGCACAGGCGGGGAAACACUGAGCACGGGGGCCAGUCCUGCAUCCGGCAACGCUCUCCUUGUGCGAUUUGUUCGGGGGAAGGGGGCGCAGGAGGAGGGCUUUGAGAAAUGUCUUGGGCUUAGGUUUUUGCUUGUGAGUGGCUCUCCCGGCAGCAUUUCAGCCACCGUGUGCGCGUGGCGGCUGUCAUGUGUCACGACAAGAGGACACAUUCCAUGUCAAGCUGUGGGUCUCACAUGGCCCGGCGUGCCGGGCGUCUCUUUAGGGGACGGGAGGAGAGAGCAGGGACAGGCUGUUGGGUUUCGCCCAGGGCUGAAAUGGCGUUUUGAAAGAUUUGUCGGGGGCCCUAGGGGAGGGGAAAGGAAGAACCGAGGAUGGAGGAUGAGCUGUGAGCCAGUCUGUCCCGGCGAAAGGAAAUGCAGACUGACCUGCCUCUUCCUUCCAGCGCGGAGGCUCCACCCGGCUCGGCUGGAACCCGGAACGAGGCUGCCCGGGUGCCGGUAACCCACCAGUUGGCCCUAGCCCUUUUCUGGGACUAAUUUCUUGAAGCAUAAACUAGGUCAAAAAGAAACCAUGGUGGGUGAAGGGGGUCCUCAGGGCUUACAGACUUGGAGAAGGCAGGCUGUGGUAUCUAUCGCAGGCAGGCGUUAGGCAAGUAGGGAAAAGCAAAAAGAACCAAAAGACAAUUCCUGGAAGAUUUCUCCCCCAAUAGGAAAUCGCACUAGGAGAGCAUCAGACCCCUUUGGAGGCAGAGGGUGUCGAGGGCCUGUGACCCCGUGGCUGCGAACUUUAGAAGCCUGGUGCCAGGGCGGGCGGUGACUGCAGUGGGGUGGUGGGGCAGGGGCACCCGCCCAGGUGGGGGUGCUGGUUGCUUUUAUUUGCUCCCCGAGCACCGUGCUUCCACCUGAUGCUCGCCCCCCUGCCAGUGCCGGCUGCCGGCUGCCGGCCCCGAAGCUCCCGAGGGUUUCUCCCCUGCUCCUGCUCCAGUUCCUGCCGGGCAAUUGGGGCAGUAGCUGCCACUCGCACCCGUUGCUGGUGGCCCCAAUCGCUCGGCGCUGUGCCGGUGGGAGUGGGGCUGCCAGCGGACGGGCCUGGGGGGUGACCUUGCAGCCCUCAGUUCCUUUCAAGGUGAAUGAGGUGGUGUAUUUGGCCCCUAGU
Molecule: long non-coding RNA, 2240 nt
Organism: Pipistrellus kuhlii (Kuhl's pipistrelle)
Lineage: Eukaryota; Metazoa; Chordata; Mammalia; Chiroptera; Vespertilionidae
Exons: 3
Source: RefSeq, a predicted model, not a curated record